GGUGAGGUAAAAGCUCACCAAGGCAACGAUCAAUAGCUGUUCUUAGAGGAAGACCAGCCACAUUGGGACUGAGACACGGCCCAGACUCCUACGGGAGGCAGCAGUGGGGAAUCUUGGACAAUGGGGGAAACCCUGAUCCAGCAAUUCCGCGUGAAUGAUGAAGGCCUUAGGGUUGUAAAGUUCUUUUAGUAAGGAAGAUGAUGACGGUACUUACAGAAAAAGCUCCGGCUAACUCCGUGCCAGCAGCCGCGGUAAUACGGAGGGGGCAAGCGUUGUUCGGAAUUACUGGGCGUAAAGAGCGAGCAGGUGGUUCAUUAAGUCAAUUGUGAAAGCUCAAGGCUUAACCUUGAAAUUGCUUUUGAUACUGAUGAACUAGAGUUUGGGAGAGGAUAGUGGAAUUCUAAGUGUAGAAGUGAAAUUCGUAGAUAUUUAGAGGAACACCGACAGCGAAGGCAACUAUCUGGCCCUUUACUGACACUCAGAAGCGAAAGCUUGGGUAGCAAACAGGAUUAGAUACCCUGGUAGUCCAUGCUGUAAACGAUGAGUGCUAGAUGUUAGAAGUUUACUUCUAGUAUCAAAGCUAACGCGUUAAGCACUCCGCCUGGGGAGUACGGCCGCAAGGCUAAAACUCAAAUGAAUUGACGGGGACCCGCACAAGCAGUGGAGCAUGUGGUUUAAUUCGACGCUACGCGAAGAACCUUACCAGCUCUUGACAUGCUAAGUUUUGAAUUUAAGAGAUUAAAUUCUUCAGUUCGGCUGGGCUUAGUACAGGUGCUGCAUGGCUGUCGUCAGCUCGUGUCGUGAGAUGUUCGGUUAAGUCCGGCAACGAGCGCAACCCUCAUCUUCAGUUACUAACAGGUUAUGCUGAGGACUCUGGAGAAACUGCCGUUGGAAAAGCGGAGGAAGGCGAGGAUGACGUCAAGUCCUCAUGGCCCUUAUGGGCUGGGCUACACACGUGCUACAAUGGUAAUUACAAUAGGUCGCGAAAAGGCAACUUUGAGCUAAUCUUCAAAAAUUAUCUUAGUUCGGAUUGUUCUCUGAAACUCGAGAGCAUGAAGUUGGAAUU
RNAcentral lists this ribosomal RNA (1066 nucleotides) under marine metagenome. Its description in RNAcentral is "bacterial SSU rRNA". It matches the Rfam family "Bacterial small subunit ribosomal RNA", at positions 251 to 1333 of the family's 1533-position model. The record is from RNAcentral.